Molecule: ribosomal RNA, 253 nt
Filed under: uncultured bacterium
Lineage: Bacteria
Description: partial 16S ribosomal RNA
Rfam family: Bacterial small subunit ribosomal RNA
Source: RNAcentral
UACGUAGGGUGCGAGCGUUGUCCGGAAUUAUUGGGCGUAAAGGGCUCGUAGGCGGUCUGUCGCGUCGGUAGUGAAAACUCAGGGCUUAACCCUGAGCCUGCUUCCGAUACGGGCAGACUAGAGGUAUGCAGGGGAGAAUGGAAUUCCUGGUGUAGCGGUGAAAUGCGCAGAUAUCUGGAGGAACACCGGUGGCGAAGGCGGCAUCCUGGACCGGCAUUGACGCUGAGGCGCGAAAGCCAGGGGAGCAAACGGG